Orcinus orca (killer whale) is the source of this 107-nucleotide small nuclear RNA. Lineage: Eukaryota; Metazoa; Chordata; Mammalia; Artiodactyla; Delphinidae. The record is from RefSeq and is a predicted model, not a curated record.
GUGCUCCCUUUGGCAACACAUACACUAAAAUUGGAACAAUACAGAGAAGAUUAACAUGGUCCCUGUGCAAGGAUGACAUGCAAAUUUGUGAAGCAUUCCAUAUUUUU